RNAcentral lists this unclassified non-coding RNA (356 nucleotides) under Basidiomycota sp. Its description in RNAcentral is "partial contains small subunit ribosomal RNA, internal transcribed spacer 1, and 5.8S ribosomal RNA". The stretch from base 1 to 47 matches the Rfam family "Eukaryotic small subunit ribosomal RNA", at positions 1785 to 1831 of the family's 1831-position model. Lineage: Eukaryota; Fungi; Basidiomycota. The record is from RNAcentral.
AAAGUCGUAACAAGGUUUCCGUAGGUGAACCUGCGGAAGGAUCAUCUGUGAAUAUGGGUGAAAAGAGUUUUGAGCACUUGUUUUUUGCUGCCUUUUUGUGGGGCAGUUGCUUGGUACCUUUUUUGGGUAGUGGGCGACCACUUUCCUUUGGGGGAGUGGUAUAAUAUGUCUGGGCAGCCUUUGGGUUUCCAAUAUUUUGGGGGCCUGAUAGACCCAGACAAUCCCGGGUGAAAACCUAAUGUGAACCUCAGAAUUUGAGGGAAAGCUUUAGGCACACGUGGGAUGAUCACAGGUCUUUUCUCUACUCGAAAAGUAGAAACAUAUAACAACUUUCAACAAUGGAUCUCUUGGCUCUC